CUCCUACGGGAGGCAGCAGUGGGGGAUAUUGCACAACGGGGGGAACCCUGAUGCAGCGACGCCGCGUGGGUGAAGAAGCGCCUCGGCGCGUAAAGCCCUGUCAGCAGGGAAGAAAAUGACGGUACCUGAAGAAGAAGCCCCGGCUAACUACGUGCCAGCAGCCGCGGUAAUACGUAGGGGGCAAGCGUUAUCCGGAUUUACUGGGUGUAAAGGGGGCGCAGACGGCGAUGCAAGCCAGGAGUGAAAGCCCGGGGCCCAACCCCGGGACUGCUCUUGGAACAGCGGGGCUGGGGCGCAGGGGGGGG
RNAcentral lists this ribosomal RNA (305 nucleotides) under uncultured bacterium. RNAcentral's name for it is "partial 16S ribosomal RNA". It matches the Rfam family "Bacterial small subunit ribosomal RNA", at positions 336 to 658 of the family's 1533-position model. The record is from RNAcentral.